CUGACUGAGCCAUCCCGGUGCCCCAUGAAGAUUUUAUUUUUGAGUAAUCUCUACACCCAACGUGGCGCUUGAACCCACAACCCCAGAUCCAGUGUGCCCCGCCGACUGAGCCAGCCAGGUGCUGCGGGAGCGGCUCUCUUAACGUGAGCUAAAGUUGACUUCAGGACAAAGUGACCUUUCUGUAUGCAUUUUAGAUUUAGCGGUUCGGAGGGAGAAACAGAGCAGGUUCAGUGUUUUUUGUUUUGUUUUGGAAAUUGGCUCUUGAGCAUGAAAAGGGAAGCAGGCCUUGAUGCCAAGAUGACGUCUUGGCAAGAGACUAGAGGGAUAGCAAGGGUGCCAGCCCUUCCCCUCCUCUCGGGACCCACUGAAGGUCACCUGAUCUGGGAGGUGGGGAAAGGAAACUGGGCCCGACCUGGGUGGGGAGGGGAAAGGACAGGCCUAAGAGGAUGGGCGGCUUGCACAGGCAUCUGUCCCAACAACCUGGGGCCCUGGGUCAGCAGGGCCGGUGUAGACACUACCCAUCACCUCUUAAUGAGUGGCUGCUCUUGAGUCAACGGCCCCACUAGCCGUGGGUCCCGCUCUGCUACAGAGUGCUGUGGGCGUCGUCUGUCCUUCCUGUUUGUCAACAGCCCAGGACGCUCCCCCUCUUGAGACAGAGGGGGAGUCCUUGUCACCGGAGUAGUGGUGCUCUGAAGGCCUAGCCCCUGUUCUCCAGGUGCUGGCGAUGGGGAUGGUGGAGGCCCUCAGCGUCGCAUCCAGAACCUUCUCACCAGCCGGCGCACCCAUCCCUCGAGUGCAGGGCGUGUCGGCUACUGACAGCUCGUAGCUUCUCUCGAGUACUGCUCUUAGCCAAACGGGAGCCUCUUGACACUGGGGUCACAUGCUUUGGCAGCCUGUAGCCGGCGACUGACUGGCACGGAGCCAUCAGAGCUAUCUCCUUGCCACCGAGAGGGUCCAACGUGGUGGCCUUCAAGCUCCAGAGGUCCCCAUUGGGAUCGUGUCAGACUCCUGCUGAGACCACAUUCUUAGCUCUUUCCCCUGCCCUCUUCUGCUCCCCUCACUGCUUUUCUUCCAGAGAGCCCUUUCACCAGCACCCACGUCCCCACUUUAGCUCUGUUUCAGGGGAUCCCACCCAAGGGACUAGGCUUACGGCAAGUGCUGAGUAAACGGGGGGCUCUGAUGGCAGGGUAGCCCCCCCCUCCCCCAGUGUGGGUUUUGCUGAAGGAAUUCGAGGCCUUGCUGGGGUUCUUCCUCCUGCUCUGACAGGCCUCACUCUGCACAUACACACACGGGCCCAGACAGCUCCCUGUGACCCCCUCCUCCCUCAACUUCUGCUCCUGAACUGCUCCCCCAAGGAAGCAGGUGUGAAGGACUUCUGUCAACCUUGAGGCUUCAUUAUGAGCUUCCGGUCUUCGGGUGAGACCGAGAGAGGGGGUCGUCCCUGCCUCACUCAACAAGAGGGCAGUGAGGUGCCCGGUGGUCUCGGUAACUGCUCCUGGCCCGGCCCGACCCCGUCGGGCUCCGUGCUGCGGAACGGGCCGGGGCACCGUUGAGAGGCCUGCCAAGUUUGGGCCUCCUCGGCAGCCACCCCACCACAUUCCACCCGGCGGCCACAGUUUGUCUUGGCAAGAUGGCCUUCUGGGCCUGGCUCCCAGAAGGGCCUAGGGAGCAGCCCCAGACAAACCAGCUUUCACCACAGAAGCCGAAGCCUGAGUCCACGCCAGCCCCAGAGUGGCCGGGCCUUCCUCCACCCACCUGAAGGCUGGCAGGGGAUGCAUGGGGAAGGAGAGGCUUUGAAGAAACAAGAUGGCAGGUUGCUGGGCCCCAAGGAACAACAGACCUGCUGAAGCAUUUUUCCUUCCCCUUUUAAACACUUGGCUCCUACUCUCUCAAGGAAUAAAAUUACCUAAAGAAUGUGCCCCCAAAA
Molecule: long non-coding RNA, 1927 nt
Organism: Felis catus (domestic cat)
Lineage: Eukaryota; Metazoa; Chordata; Mammalia; Carnivora; Felidae
Exons: 2
Source: RefSeq, a predicted model, not a curated record